RNAcentral lists this ribosomal RNA (364 nucleotides) under Pestalotiopsis sp. FLS-2010. Its description in RNAcentral is "eukaryotic LSU rRNA". The stretch from base 66 to 219 matches the Rfam family "5.8S ribosomal RNA". Lineage: Eukaryota; Fungi; Ascomycota; Sordariomycetes; Amphisphaeriales; Sporocadaceae. The record is from RNAcentral.
CUGCCGGUGGACCAUUAAACUCUUGUUAUUUUAUGUAAUCUGAGCGUCUUAUUUUAAUAAGUCAAAACUUUCAACAACGGAUCUCUUGGUUCUGGCAUCGAUGAAGAACGCAGCGAAAUGCGAUAAGUAAUGUGAAUUGCAGAAUUCAGUGAAUCAUCGAAUCUUUGAACGCACAUUGCGCCCAUUAGUAUUCUAGUGGGCAUGCCUGUUCGAGCGUCAUUUCAACCCUUAAGCCUAGCUUAGUGUUGGGAAUCUACUUCUCUUAGGAGUUGUAGUUCCUGAAAUACAACGGCGGAUUUAUAGUAUCCUCUGAGCGUAGUAAUUUUUUUCUCGCUUUUGUUAGGUGCUAUAACUCCCAGCCCGC